AUGGUGGCUUCUGAUUUGCCUGGAUCAACCGGUGACGUCGGAAUUGACAAGCUGCAGGUUUUGGCCGAGCAGAGCUGCUGUUUGUUUCACUCCAUGCUUGCGAUGGCUGAUGGUACCAAGUUCCUCCUUUUGUUCCUCCUCUUGAACAGCUCAACGUUGUGUUUUGGUUCUGGACAAGAUAUCCAGUGCUUGAAGUCUGUAUAUCAAUCAGUAAUUGAUCCCAACGGUGUACUCAAAUCCUCUUGGAACUUUGAAAAUGCCACCAGCGGUUUCAUAUGCCGCUUUACUGGUGUGGAAUGCUGGAACCCGGACGAGGACAGGGUUCUCUCUCUCCGACUCGGCAAACUAGGACUGGAAGGCACAUUCCCUCAGGGUCUACAAAAUUGUUCAAGCAUGACCGGCCUGGACCUGUCGAAUAACAAUUUUUCAGGACCGAUCCCUUCCGACAUUUUACAGUAG
This 459-nucleotide ribosomal RNA is filed under the name Triticum aestivum (bread wheat). RNAcentral's name for it is "partial small subunit ribosomal RNA". Lineage: Eukaryota; Viridiplantae; Streptophyta; Magnoliopsida; Poales; Poaceae. The record is from RNAcentral.